GUGUUGGGAGUACCUAAGGGAGCAAGACUGAAGCACACAUUGUUAGGAGACCACUGGCCUGACGAAGACACGUACAUCACGUAAACCAUAAUUCUUCAGGGAAUCAGUCCUCAGCGGAUUGUGAGGGGAAACCAGGGGAAACCCCUCAAUGACAGAGGAAGAACAUGCAGACUCCACACACAGAGAGCUGUGGCAAGCCUCAAACCAUAGCCCCAGAGAUAUCAUGGUAUCACUGUCUUCACUGGAAGCCAUAUCUACGACAGCUAAAGACCUGAUUUCACUGUACCAGCCACUGUCACAGAGUGAAACAUCGAGAGGCGAUGUGCAGAAUGGG
Brienomyrus brachyistius is the source of this 334-nucleotide long non-coding RNA. RefSeq lists it as uncharacterized. Lineage: Eukaryota; Metazoa; Chordata; Actinopteri; Osteoglossiformes; Mormyridae. The record is from RefSeq and is a predicted model, not a curated record. The transcript has 3 exons.